UUUUUUUUUUUUUUUUUUUUGUAUUCAUGUUUUUAUUGUUAGUUUAAGAUAAAUAUAUGAUGAAUAUAACAAAAAUUUGCUGGUCUGAAGUUUUACUUAUGAUUUGAUAUUCGAGCCACACUACUAUUGCAGAGAAUAUUUUCUUGGACUGUUCGUGUAAUCAGAUAUCUGCAAUCUUGAGUAGACGUCAAGCAAUUUACCAGAAGUCAAUGAUUAACCAAUUCACUAAAAAAAGUUUGAAAAUAAGCUAAAAUUGGAUAACCACGAAACUUAUUCCUUGUUUGAAUUGCAUUUUUCUGGGCUUUUUAUAGAAAAAUUACUGUAUCGAUUUGAUAUAUGUGAGGUAAAAAUAUGAUUGAAAAAUAUGUCCACAAACAACGUAGCAAGUUUUCUUUGAAAACUAGCCAUGCUUCCACCUUGUAAGAUAAGAUAACUUCUUGCACUCACAAUCAGAAAUUAGACAAUCUGCAAAUUUCAGUCUUUUAUACUACUAACUAUUCUAUUGGGGGAGCUUUCUUACGCGCUCUAGGAUUGAUAUGAGAGGGAGAAAUGGUGCUGAUUUUUACCCAAAGAACUCAGCAAAGUAGUAAAUAAACAUAUCAAAAAUAUUCUUUCUCAUGGGUCACUACCCAUGUCCCUGUGUGUGGAAGAAGAAAGUGAUCUCUCUUUUUGAACUUUGGUUCCUUCUAUUCGUGGCCUCUUCUCCUUCUCUAGUUUCUAUGCUAAGGAAUACGACCACAUCAAGGACCUCAACCACUACUGUAUCAUAUUUAAACCAAAAAACUGAGGUCCGGCAUAUAACAGCAAAGAAUUGAAUAUAGGAUGGUAUAAGAACCAUUAACCAAAAAAAAAAAAGAGUGGGUACUCCUCAAAAAUUCAUGUGGUGCAAUUGGAUUAAUGGGUCAUGGGAUUAAUGUAUAAAAGUUGUUACCUCAGCCCGUUUAAUUAUUAUUCUGAAAAUUUCAAAAAAAAAAAAAAAGAAAAAAAAGAAGAGAGAAUCGAAUGAGAGCUUCCCGAAUAAUCUCCGUAACUAUCAACCGUCUCGUUAUUGCGGAUACUUUCGGCAAUUGUGGUUGUUGCUCACCUUUGAUUCAACAUUUUGACACUUCACAUGGACAUGAACAUGAUCGAUCAAUCAUUUCGUACUACCACACCAACUUCCAAAAUUAACCAUUACAUCACUAAUUAUUGAUAUUGUGACUAUUUUUCUUUCUCUUUGGAUCAAAAUCAGGAAUCCCAUGCACAAUUUUUUUAAAAUAUAUAUAUAGACGCUUUCUGAUUUGUUUCCUGCGUUAGAAAAAUCGCUACUGAAUAUCAAGUAAUUAUGAAAAUGCUUUAGCAUUUAUGACUUUUGUUCCCGUUUUGUGUAGAUAAAUAGGAGUACAAUGACAAAUAGAGAUAUUAAUUGCUAGUCAAGCUCAUUUUUUUUUUAUUUUUCUCUACUUAAGUUGAUAUUAUUAGCAGUAUGCCCUAAAAAAACUUAGAAGUACUUCCUAGUUUGUGUUCCAUACUUCCAUGGUGUUAAAGUAGUCAAAUUUUAAGACAUUUCCUACAUAGGAACUUGGUCCUCAACUAGGCAUGUCAAACCCAAGACCCGGCCAAACCCAAGCCAUUGAUCUAGUGAUUAAAGUUAAGACCCCAGAACGUAAAAGUUGUGGGCUCUAAUUCUCCCGUCUCCUUCUCACUUCUUUAAAAGAAUAUAUAUAUAUAUAUAUAUAUAUAUAUAUAGAGAGAGAGAGAGAGAGAUAGAAGUGUUCGUCCUAAGACCCUCCCCUCACAGUCUUAUGUAGCAAAGGUCCCAUUGAUGUUCCAAGAAGUCACAGAAUUGGCGAAGGACCGGCUGUUGAUGUGUUGUAUUAUUAGAAUAUGAAAUGAUAGUUCUGGAGGAGGCACUUAAUGAGUCACCUUCGCCCGUCAAUUGCCACUCUACUCUUCAUCAUGAAUUCAAGUGGUCUAGGGAUAAGAUCACAUUAAUUGUGGUCCAUUUAACAGUUUUUUAACUUUUUCCCCGCCUCUCAACAUCAAGAGCCAAAAAGAAAGUACAAAAACAAAAAAAGAAGAAAGAAACAAACCUCAUAGAACCCUCAAAAAGCUAAUCAACAGUGCCAUAGAUCCACUUUCAAGAAAGACAUCUUAAGUUUUCUCGUGAACAAAUAUUCCAGAAUUUGAGUGCUACAACAAUUAAUUAGUUUACCCAUAGUGGGCAGUAUUUUUAUUUCCAGUCAUUCUUAUUAAAUUUCAAAUAUUACAGCAAGUGAAAGUUAAAUUUGUGGGAAGAGCGAAAAGAAAGAAAGAACAACAUUAAUGAACAACAAUAUCAAUGAGAUACGAGGGCCUACACGAGAAAGGGUGGGCGAAAACUUGAGUAGUCCCGGUCUAUAUAUAUAGAACCAAUGGUUUGAAAUUUGUCGCACCAUUUCACCAAUUGAAGUAUUGAAAAUGUGGCAAAAUUUGAACCAUUGGAUCUACAAGACCGGGUCUACCCACGUCUUUGCAGUUUGCACAGACGUUGUGGUGCCUACAAGGGAAGAUAUUUUCUUCAGUUGGGAAAUUGACCAUUGAUAUGUGACUUGUUUCCAGAUUUAAUUAGCUUAAUAGUAAAUCUUUGAACCAGAAAAGAACCCCAACAAAAGAAAAAUGAAAAAAGACAUCUUAGGCCAGGAAUAAAAUUUUUUAUGUGAAUUGAGUCACAAUUAACCAGCCACAAAAGGUAUGCUACAAAUUUUUUUUUUUUUUUGUCUACCACUGUCCAAAUUAAACCACAUUUAUGAUGACAGUUACUCAAGAUAUUCAAAAGAUCCGACAUGUCAAAUUAUCAGAACCACUCUCAGAAAGUCCAAGGAUUAAAACCCUUUUAAGUUAGCUUGUAUUACAACCCUUUGGUUGUAAGUUGAAGUUGAGCCCUUCUCUAGGAACAUACACAAUUUCAAACAAAAUAAUGCAUGAAUCAAAAGAAAACCUGAAACUUGUUGCACAGAACAUGCAGGCCUUCUUU
RNAcentral lists this long non-coding RNA (2995 nucleotides) under Coffea arabica (coffee). RNAcentral describes it as "long non-coding RNA (CARA_LNC003105)". The record is from RNAcentral. Lineage: Eukaryota; Viridiplantae; Streptophyta; Magnoliopsida; Gentianales; Rubiaceae.